Molecule: ribosomal RNA, 593 nt
Filed under: Acestrocephalus sardina
Lineage: Eukaryota; Metazoa; Chordata; Actinopteri; Characiformes; Characidae
Description: partial 16S large subunit ribosomal RNA
Rfam family: Bacterial large subunit ribosomal RNA
Source: RNAcentral
CAAAAACAUCGCCUCUUGCAACAUCUAGGUAUAAGAGGUCUUACCUGCCCAGUGACACUAAGUUAAACGGCCGCGGUAUUUUGACCGUGCUAAGGUAGCGCAAUCACUUGUCUUUUAAAUGAGGACCUGUAUGAAUGGUGUAACGAGGGCUUAACUGUCUCCCCUUUUAGGUCAGUGAAAUUGAUCUGUCCGUGCAGAAGCGGACAUAAGUAUACAAGACGAGAAGACCCUUUGGAGCUUAAGAUAAUAAAGUCAACUAUGUCAAAAACCCCUAUUAAGAGGAGUGAAACAUAAUAACAACUGACCUGCAUCUUCGGUUGGGGCGACCACGGGGGAAAAAAAAGCCCCCCCGUAGACAGGGAUAAACCUAGAACCACGAGGAACACCUCUAAGUCACAGAACAUCUGACUGAAAGAUCCGGCCUCACAGCCGAUCAACGAACCAAGUUACCCAAGGGAUAACAGCGCAAUCCCCUCCAAGAGUCCAUAUCGACAAGGGGGUUUACGACCUCGAUGUUGGAUCAGGACAUCCUAAUGGUGCAGCCGCUAUUAAGGGUUCGUUUGUUCAACGAUUAAAGUCCUACGUGAUCUGAG